CUCCGGACAACUUGAGAGAGCAUAGGCCCAUUGAAUUCUCAGUAAAUGAUGCAUAUUGUGCCCCUGCAGAUGAAACAAUCAUAACUGAAGUUCAACCAAUGUUUUGGGAUGUAUCGUGUCUGAGGCCUCGUGUCAGCCACUGUGGAUAAGGAAAAGACAUGCACCCUCAGCAGAAGGCAGAGCAUAAACAAAGGAACAAAUCCAAGCCGUCCCUCUCCAGGUUCCAGAGGAUACUUUCCCAGCUGAGAUGAAAAUAUUUCCUUCCAGAGAGGAAAUAUUUCCUUUCUUUCCUGAGAGGAAGAAGACCAUUCAAGGUCAACAACAUAUGUGACAGCCCUCAAGAAUGAGAGUAGAGAACAUUCCAGAGCAUCACUGUGACCAUCACAUAUGGUACAUCUGAAAAUUGAGGCCCAAGCAGGAUGUGUUCUUAUAUACCAUGGUAAAAAAGGAAUUAGAAAAACCUCCAGGAGGCUAACGGAUGUGAGGGAAGGAUUUCAGGCAAGUCAAUAAUAUGCUCAAAUUUAAUUGUAAGGAUUCAGUCUAGCAUCACAGAUGAGGGAUGAAUUGAGGAAGAGGCAAGUCUUGCUCCCAGAGACUGCUAAAAGACUUGAAGUAACAGAAGCAACAAGCAAUGAGGUUUUGAGGACAGAAAGUACAUAGGAUACUUUCAAGGAGAAAAAGUUGCCUGGACUUGAUGAUCAGUUGGCUUUUGCUGGGUGGAGAAAAUGCAGAAAUAUAAAAUGCCUCCUAAAUUUCUGAACUAGAUCCCUUGGGCAAUGUGCCUUCUACAAAGAAAGAUGAGAAAGAACAGUUUUGAAAUACAUAAUAAUAACAGCUGAAAUGCAUAGAGUUCUCACUUGCCACUCAUUAUACUGAAUUCUGUGUCAUUUCUUGUGUCAAAAACGAGUCCAGUUUUGGGAAGGAUGAGUUUGGGCAGCUCAUGACUAUCCAUGUCGAUAUCCUCACCAUCAGCUCCAGGGGAAUAUCUGAGUCUGCAGCUUAGAGGAGCUACUGGGAUUGGAAAUCAAAAUUUAUGACUUGUGAGGAUAAC
This 1051-nucleotide long non-coding RNA is filed under the name Heterocephalus glaber (naked mole-rat). RNAcentral's name for it is "lncRNA (ENSHGLG00000028517.2)". Lineage: Eukaryota; Metazoa; Chordata; Mammalia; Rodentia; Bathyergidae. The record is from RNAcentral.